CCGCGGGAUUAGAGUUUGAUCCUGGCUCAGAAUCAACGCUGGCGGCGUGCCUAACACAUGCAAGUCGAACGCGAAAGGGGAGCAAUCCCUGAGUAGAGUGGCAAACGGGUGAGUAACACGUGGGUGACCUGCCUUCGAGUGGGGGAUAACGUCCCGAAAGGGACGCUAAUACCGCAUAACAUCCUGUCCUUAGACGGACGGAGAUCAAAGCUAGGGAUCGCAAGACCUGGCGCUUAAAGAGGGGCCCGCGCCUGAUUAGCUAGUUGGUGAGGUAACGGCUCACCAAGGCUACGAUCAGUAUCCGGCCUGAGAGGGCGGACGGACACACUGGGACUGAGACACGGCCCAGACUCCUACGGGAGGCAGCAGUGGGGAAUUGUUCGCAAUGGGCGCAAGCCUGACGACGCAACGCCGCGUGGAGGAUGAAGAUCUUCGGGUCGUAAACUCCUGUCGAACGGGAAGAACGUUUCACGGAUGAAUAAGCUGUGAAAGUGACGGUACCGUUAAAGGAAGCCCCGGCUAACUCCGUGCCAGCAGCCGCGGUAAUACGGGGGGGGCAAGCGUUGUUCGGAAUUACUGGGCGUAAAGGGCUCGUAGGUGGCCAACUAAGUCAGACGUGAAAUCCCCAGGCUUAACCUGGGAACUGCGUCUGAUACUGGAUGGCUUGAAUUCGGGAGAGGGAUGCAGAAUUCCAGGUGUAGCGGUGAAAUGCGUAGAUAUCUGGAGGAAUACCGGUGGCGAAGGCGGCAUCCUGGACCGAGAUUGACACUGAGGAGCGAAAGCUAGGGGAGCAAACGGGAUUAGAUACCCCGGUAGUCCUAGCCCUAAACGAUGAAUGCUUGGUGUGACGGGUAUCGAUCCCUGUC
This 866-nucleotide ribosomal RNA is filed under the name uncultured bacterium. RNAcentral describes it as "bacterial SSU rRNA". It matches the Rfam family "Bacterial small subunit ribosomal RNA", at positions 1 to 842 of the family's 1533-position model. The record is from RNAcentral.